GACGAACGCUGGCGGCGUGCUUAACACAUGCAAGUCGAACGGAAAGGCCCUGCUUUUGUGGGGUGCUCGAGUGGCGAACGGGUGAGUAACACGUGAGUAACCUGCCCUUGACUUUGGGAUAACUUCAGGAAACUGGGCUAAUACCGGAUCGGAGCUCCUGCUGCAUGGUGGGGGUUGGAAAGUUUCGGCGGUUGGGGAUGGACUCGCGGCUUAUCAGCUUGUUGGUGGGGUAGUGGCUUACCAAGGCUUUGACGGGUAGCCGGCCUGAGAGGGUGACCGGCCACAUUGGGACUGAGAUACGGCCCAGACUCCUACGGGAGGCAGCAGUGGGGAAUAUUGCACAAUGGGCGGAAGACUGAUGCAGCAACGCCGCGUGCGGGAUGACGGCCUUCGGGUUGUAAACCGCUUUCGCCUGUGACGAAGCGUGAGUGACGGUAAUGGGUAAAGAAGCACCGGCUAACUACGUG
RNAcentral lists this ribosomal RNA (467 nucleotides) under uncultured bacterium. Its description in RNAcentral is "partial 16S ribosomal RNA". It matches the Rfam family "Bacterial small subunit ribosomal RNA", at positions 28 to 507 of the family's 1533-position model. The record is from RNAcentral.